GACGAACGCUGGCGGCGUGCUUAACACAUGCAAGUCGAACGGAAAGGCCCUGCUUUUGUGCGGUUCUCGUUUGGCGAACGGGUGAGUAACACGUGAGUAACCUGCCCUUGUCUUUGUGAUAACUUCAGGAAACUGGGGCGAAUACCGCAUAGGAUCUCCUGCUCCGUGGUGGGGGUUGGAAAAUUUCGGCGUUUCGGGAUGGACUCGAGGCUUAUCAGCUUGUUGGUGGGGUAGUGGCUUACCAAGGUUUUGACGGGUAGCCGGCCUGGGAGGGUGACCGGCCACAUUGGGACUGAGAUACGGACCAGACGCCUACGGGAGGCAGCAGUGGGGAACAUUGCACAAUGGGCGGAAGCCUGAUGCAGAAACGCCGGGUGCGGGAUGCCGGCCUUCGGGUUGUAAACCGCUUUCGACGGUGACGAAGCGUGCGUGACGGUAAUGGGUAAAGAAGCACCGGCUAACUACGUG
Molecule: ribosomal RNA, 468 nt
Filed under: uncultured bacterium
Lineage: Bacteria
Description: partial 16S ribosomal RNA
Rfam family: Bacterial small subunit ribosomal RNA
Source: RNAcentral